GUCAAUGAUGACUAAAUCCAUGUAUUUUGAGGUGUAGUGAAGCCAAGUCCCUGUUUUUACAGGGAGAACCUACCUGGUUAAGCUGCAUUCCAUAUGAAAUUAAUAAAAAUUUGUCUUGAGGC
Molecule: small nucleolar RNA, 122 nt
Organism: Malania oleifera
Lineage: Eukaryota; Viridiplantae; Streptophyta; Magnoliopsida; Santalales; Ximeniaceae
Product: small nucleolar RNA Z278
Exons: 1
Source: RefSeq, a predicted model, not a curated record